RNAcentral lists this ribosomal RNA (442 nucleotides) under uncultured bacterium. Its description in RNAcentral is "bacterial SSU rRNA". It matches the Rfam family "Bacterial small subunit ribosomal RNA", at positions 338 to 795 of the family's 1533-position model. The record is from RNAcentral.
CCUANGGGAGGCUGCAGUCAAGAAUAUUCCACAAUGCCCGAAAGGGUGAUGGAGCGACGCCGCGUGAUCGAUGAAGCCCUUCGGGGUGUAAAGAUCUUUUCUCAGGGACGAACUAAUGACGGUACCUGAGGAAUAAGGGGUUGCUAACUCUGUGCCAGCAGCAGCGGUAAUACAGAGACCUCAAGCGUUAUCCGGAUUUAUUGGGCGUAAAGCGUGCGCAGGCGGUUUGUUAAGUUAGUAGUUAAAGCUCAAAGCUCAACUUUGAGACUGCUCCUAAAACUAAUAAACUGGAGGUUGGAAGAGGCAAGCGGAAUUGCCGGUGUAGGGGUAAAAUCCGUUGAUAUCGGCAGGAACACCAAAUGCGAAGGCAGCUUGCUAGUACACACCUGACGCUGGAGCACGAAAGCGUGGGGAGCGAAGAGGAUUAGAUACCCCUNUANUC